GGCCCAUUAAUUCUCAGGACCGGC
RNAcentral lists this non-coding RNA (24 nucleotides) under Arabidopsis thaliana (thale cress). Lineage: Eukaryota; Viridiplantae; Streptophyta; Magnoliopsida; Brassicales; Brassicaceae. The record is from RNAcentral.